AGGAUGGACCUCUGCGACGACCCGGAGAAUACCCACAUCGUUGCGAUGCUCGAGGUCCCAGGCAUGAAGCCCGAACAGCUCUCAGUGCGGAUCGAGGGCGCCCGCCUCAUCGUCGAAGGCGAGCGCACUGGACCCGCGCUCCAUACCCGGAACCAAACCACCACCCAAACCACGCGUGCCUUCCCUCCGCCAGGCUCGGAGCCGAACUCGGCUGCCUCUACCGAUUCCGACGUGGCCGUG
This 240-nucleotide unclassified non-coding RNA is filed under the name Hevea brasiliensis (rubber tree). Lineage: Eukaryota; Viridiplantae; Streptophyta; Magnoliopsida; Malpighiales; Euphorbiaceae. The record is from RNAcentral.